UGGAAAUUUAAACAAAGCUAUAAUGCUAAGGCAAUAGCUGAAAAAAUAUGUGGUGUAUUCAGUAAAGGUCUAAUAAGAGAUUGGACAGUUAGAAGUUUGUUUGCGAAAUUCCGUUCUGAAGAUACGACUUUAAAGGACAAAGUUUGGAUUAGGCGUUCUUCCGACCUUUACGACAACUUUUAACCAUGCGUUAGUGUGAGGUAUGAUACACCCCGUGCAUGCAAGUCAAUUAAUUCUCACAAAAGCAUCAUCUUACUGCCCUCUAUUGUUCAGUAGCUGUAGCUCUAGCAUCAUUCUAUCGUGUAGCAUUAUUAUUUAAAUAAUUUCUUCAAUACCAACUUACAUAAACGUAGAAAUAUGCAACAAACGUAUGUCACACCCUACCACACCAUUAGCGUCAGUCUGUUUAUAAACGUUACAAAGGGUAUGCCACACCCCACCACAUCAGACACGUAAGUUUAAGGCACCAUACCAACGCAGGAUUAAAAGCAAUAUUGGAACAAAAUCCACGUUAAUCAACAAGAGAUGUAGCAGGAAGGUUGAAUAUAUCACAAUCAACUGUUUGCCGGAGAAAUUAAGGAAAGUCAGCAAGGGGUAAAAAAAAGGAAGAUUUGUGACUCGUCCCAAUAGCUUUACGUACACAGUCGUGUAGCUUUGCCCAAAACAGACACACAACCGAGCACAGUACUUUAUCCAUGCACUAUUUGUUAGUCUAUUUAAGUUAUUAAUGUAUUGGUCAGUCUAUUUAAAUUAUUAGUACCAUGCUAAAAAUUUAAUUUUAAAGCUUCUUUUUAGUUGAACGCAACCUAAGGAAACUUUGGGUGUUGGAAAGAGUGGGUGAAAAUGCAAUAGCAAGCAAAUAUAUGUGUGUGUGUGUGUGUGUGUGUGUGUGUGUGUGUAAAAAUAAAUAAAAAAUAUAUAAGGCGCUAUAUGUACGUAUUGAAAAAGGAGUAAAAAUGCAAUGGUAAACAAGUUAAUAUCCUUGAGAUGGAAUGUAAUAUAAAAAGAAAUGAGUAAUAUGUUAAUGUUAGUUUCAUAUGUACUGCACGUUGCACGGUCGCACUAUAUUUGUACAUUUAAACAUUACGCAGUUGACGUAUAAUAUUUAUAUAAGACGUAUGUAAUAAAAAAAGAUUUACAAGUGUUUGUUAUAUAAAAUCUAUUUCAUGUUGCUGCACUAUAAAGUGCACUAAAACUUUUUAUCUUGUUUUUGCAAAACUUCAAAUAUAUAUUUAUUUUAUUUUAAGUAAAACAAGCGUACACUAGUUCACCUAUAAAGAACAGAUUACUGACUUAAUUAAUUAACUAUGAAAAUGUAGACCUACGGCAUCCAAAACAAAUCAACAUCUAUUUAUAACUGUAAUACCAGCAAAUCUGCAUUCCGUCUAGGAGGUAUAUUUCCCUCUAAAAAUAGUUGGUAGAAGAGGAUUGAGGUUAUUGCAAUUCUGUAACUCAAUGAGAAUAAGUGUCGUUAUAAAAUCGGUAUCAUUAUAUUGUCAUUGCGUAUUUUUAUCUUCUAACGUAACGACACAAGCACUGUUUUUCCGAUGAGAACAGGUACAGGAAUUCCAUGUUCUAUUUGCAUGUUUUACGUGAAUAGAAUACGUAAAUAGGACUUUAUCAACAUGACAUCCACAUGAAUCUUGUGUGAACACUCGUAGGUAGAUUUUAAUACAUUUCAUCUACGUAGAAUUACUAAUGAAAUAGAACUGAGAUUAAAAUAGAAGAUAGCAAUGUGAAUUUCAUGGAAAUAAAUUCAAACCAACUUUUAUCCUAUACAAUCCACGUAGGAUUAUUAAUUAAAUUUGAAGGAAAUAAAAAUAGUAGAUAGCAACAUAGAAUUUACGUGAGUAAAUAUAAAUUAAUUUUUAUCCUAAGUAUCCAUGUUGAAAUUUAGAAGCAAUAUUGAAGUUCUAUAAACUUUGGACAUCUCGUCCAGAUAAGUCUUUUACUUAUUCACACUUUAUUAAAACAUCAUUCUUCACCUCCAUUAUUUACAAGUAUUCAGAACAAUUGAAAAUGUACAUUAUAAAAUAUGUGGAAACAUGGUGUGUUAGAGUUUUAUUUACCAAUAACGUAACUUUUUUUUAAUGGUACAGUUUAAAGGUUAAUAAUAAAAAGGCAAAAGAAUAAUAAUAAACACACUUUUUAAUAAAAGAAUAAUAUUGUUGUGUCUACGCGACACUGGUACACACACUCGUAAAAAUGUGAAGGUCUCUUAAGAAAUCACGGGCGCAACAAUUCAUUUUAUAUUAAAAAAAUAUAUAUAUUUUUGUAGUACAUACAAUUAUUAAUAAUUAACAAUAUAAUAGUAAAUCAUGUAGCUAACAAGUAAUAAAAAGUAACAAGAAAAGUUGGUAACAAUUAAUAAAUGAUACGACAUAUUAAGUGAAUUUUUCAUUAUCUGAUCUUUACUUUUGACAAACGUUUUGCAUUCUUUUAAUAAACCAAGAAAAGUAGUUUUUACGCAAGAAGGUCAUAAUUUCAUCGUGGCUCGAUAAUAAGAUGCACACCACUUUUCGCAUCGAGAACGAAAGAUCCUUCAAUGAAAUGAAGCGGAACUGAAGUCCGGGAAUGAAGUUUAAAUUUGUAUUUCGAC
Long non-coding RNA from Solenopsis invicta (red fire ant), 2599 nucleotides. RefSeq lists it as uncharacterized. NCBI's taxonomy places the organism in Eukaryota, Metazoa, Arthropoda, Insecta, Hymenoptera, Formicidae. The record is from RefSeq and is a predicted model, not a curated record. The transcript has 2 exons.